This 440-nucleotide ribosomal RNA is filed under the name uncultured bacterium. Its description in RNAcentral is "partial 16S ribosomal RNA". It matches the Rfam family "Bacterial small subunit ribosomal RNA", at positions 338 to 795 of the family's 1533-position model. The record is from RNAcentral.
CCUACGGGAGGCAGCAGUGGGGAAUAUUGCACAAUGGGGGGAACCCUGAUGCAGCGACGCCGCGUGAGUGAAGAAGUAUUUCGGUAUGUACAGCUCUAUCAGCAGGGAAGAAAAUGACGGUACCUGACUAAGAAGCCCCGGCUAACUACGUGCCAGCAGCCGCGGUAAUACGUAGGGGGCAAGCGUUAUCCGGAUUUACUGGGUGUAAAGGGGGCGCAGACGGCUGUGCAAGUCUGGAGUGAAAGGCGGGGGCCCAACCCCCGGACUGCUCUGGAAACUGUAAAGCUGGAGUGCAGGAGAGGUAAGCGGAAUUCCUAGUGUAGCAGUGAAAUGCGUAGAUAUUAGGAGGAACACCAGUGGCGAAGGCGGCUUACUGGACUGCAACUGACGUUGAGGCUCGAAAGCGUGGGGAGCAAACAGGAUUAGAGACCCCUGUAGUC